GGCCACCAACAAUACCACAAAUACCAUCUAACAAUACCACGACAGUCAAUGAAGCAUGCGACAAAAACUAGGAUUUUCUCGGGUUCUUUCUACUUUUUAGCAUCAAAACUUAAAAUUCUUACCCCAUUUUCAUCAUUGUUUUAAAAGCCCUAAUUUUUAGAAUAAUGAACAAAUGUAGAACUCUUCUCGAACUCUAUUACCUGCGAAGAUAGAGAAAACAACGGAUACAAGCGAGAAUGAAUUCGAAAAUAACAAUUAUGUGGUCGGAAAUAGAAAGAAAAUCGAUCUGUUUUGAAGGGUUGAGCAAUAUGUUGAGUAGUUAUUGUCUGUAGUGUAGAAAGAGAAAGAAAAGAACGAGAAAUCGAGAUUUGAAAUGAUGAAAUAUUUUUUCCGCAAAUGGAUGGUUUGUAUUGGGUUGAUUUGUAUUUUUUGAAAAAGAAUGACAAGUUUUGAAAUUGUUAAUUUGAUUUGAAUUGAUGUUAGUUAUUUUUUUAAAUCAAUUGCAAAGAAAUAUGUUGUGUUAGAUGACUGAGUUGUUGGAAAUGUUCAAACAGAUAUUGAUAUCUAUUGCAACAGAUGACAAUUUUUUUUGAAUUUUUUUUUUAAUCUUAAAGCAAUUUUCUGUCCGAAAGAAUAAAGAUAAAAUACUACUAAGGCGGUAAAAAAUACUUCUUGGAUAACUCCAUUUUGCAAAAUAGACACAUUGAAAACUUUUUUAGUUUUUUUGACACACGUCUUGAAAAAUUAAGUAUUUAGACACUAGGUUGACAUCGUCACUUCUUAUAUACAACCCUAACACACACAUAGUUUAUUGGGAUAUAUUGUGUGUCAAGUCUAUUGGGAUUAUUCUUUACAUACCACAUAGUUUAUUAUCGAUUCUAUUUCAAGAAUAUUAAAAAGUCUAAUUAUUCGAAUGAACAGAUAAACAGUCGAGCAUUUAUGACACAUCAAAAAAGCGGUUGCACAUCCACUCACACCCUGCGUCGAUUGGUUAUACGUAUCUCCUCGAAUUUCACCGACGCACCCGUCUACCUACAACUGAUCGAGAAGAUCAAAGGCUUUGAUUUUGGUCUAUAUAAACAACCAUCAACUAUACACAAUAUUCAUCUUUUUUAACCCCAAAAAUUUGAUAAAUAGGACCAGAUACCGAGCAUUUCACUUAGACCAUGAAUGAGGGUUUGUUUUCUGCAUAGCCACAACAUUCUCCUCCUCCGAAAUGACCUAGACCUUCUCUUCUAUAGUUUGGGUCUGGUCAAGGAGCACCUCCACCGUGAAAUCUGGCGUAUCACCCGAUUUUUACGGGCGAUCGUGGAGAGGCUAAACAUGCAGCCCGAGGAGUUCAUCACCCCCCACCAUCCCCCUAAUUUAGGUUUAAAUUUCUGUUGUAAUUGUAGUUGUAAGUUCAUUACAAAAAAACUUUUAUGGCUAGGGAAUUUGUUAGAUGAAAGCUCCUUUCUUUUGUCUCUUUUGCUCGUAGUUUGCUGUAAAUAUGAUGUUAAACCAUUGCUGUAAUGAACUUACAAAAUGAGUGUUUGAAAUUUUAUUGCAAUGCCCUUUAUGUUUGUCUCUACAUUAAUUAUACAAUUUUGUUCUUGGUUGAAAUUUUGCAAUUUUUCCUGUUAUUAAUUGAACGAAUCUGUUCUAUUAACAAUUAUGUGAAUUUCUACAAAAUUAAUUGCACGGUUGAUAUAGUAUAUGAUUGAUCGAGAUCAAUAAUUACGCGUGACUGUCUACGUAAUCGAUGAAUUUCAUUAUGUGGGUUCAUUAUAUAUAAAUAAUUAAAUAACUAUAAUUGUGUCGAUUGUAAAUCAUAGACUGCAAGCUUUGUCACUAAUAUAUCAUACCGCUAGACCUCUUGCAUAGAUCGUAAAUAUAAUCGAUGCCUUCUCAUGCGUUGGGUAGAUGCUAAACCGUAUAGAUCCACACUCAGUCAAUGCUAAGGUAUAUAUGGGUUGGUGAAGCAGUCAAAAAAAUAUUAGUACAUAGUCAAAGAUAUAAAUAAUUAAAUAAGUGAAACUGAUUUGAGGGCCAUAUAUUGUGUCUAUUGUAAAUCAUAGACUUAAAGCCUUGUCAUUAAUAUAUCGAAUUUGUUUAUUGCUCUUAGUAGCAUAUUUGAAAAAAAAAAAAUUAAUAAAUAAAAUAAUAAAUAAUUAGAUUUUAUGUAAAUAAAGGAGCUUGAACAAGUCUUAUGAUCGUAUAAGAGUCCAUGUAAAUUGAAAAAGUUGAUCAAAGAUGUGUGUGGAUAGGUAGUGAAUGAACAAAUGAAUUCCUCAUAACAUACUUGUGCUUUGGUAAACAUUGUCCUAAGGAUAUUGGUUGUUCAACCACAAGUCAUCACCUCAUACAUCUUUGAUCACCACUUUCAAUUUACAUGGGCUCUCAUACGAUCACAUGACUUGUUUAUGCUCAUUUAAUUGCAUAAAAUCUAAUUCUAUAUUAUUUUAUUAAUUAAAUAAUUCUUUUCAAAAUAUGUGUUUGUCAUGGUCAAUGAAUAUGUAUCCUCGUCUAGUGGAUUUAUUAAUGAAGCAGUCUGUAGUUUAUGCUAGACUAUGCUUAAUUAUUUACUCGACCUGAUAUAAUCUAGAAUAGAUUGUGAACUAUUCCACAAUUAAAUAACUAGAUGAGGAUAUUUAUUUAUAGACUAUGACUAGCACAUUUAUGGCGGUGUUUAAGACAUUGCGGAAUGACAGAAAUGUCCUAAAAAAUCGUUAAAGAAUUUAAGGGCCCGUUUGGUCAUGAAAUUUUUUUUCUUUUUUCGAAAAAUUUUUAUGAAGUUAAAAAUUAUGGUGUUUGACCAUGAAAAUUCAAAAAAUAAUUCCAAAUUUUUUUUCUGAAAAGGGAAAAUAGAUUUCUGUUGUUUUCACAAUUUUUCAACUCCAAUUUCAACUUUUAUUAUUAUUACAUAUAACCCCAAUCUUUUAAAUUUUUACAUAAAACUCUCCUCAUAACAUUACUUUUUCAAUAUUACGUAUAACAGUUUUAAAGAAUAAGAUAAUUAUAAUUUCAAAUUUAAUGUUAUCCUAAUUAAUAUAUAUCUCUUUUUCUCUCUCAUCAUUAUUUUUAUCUCUAAUUUAAUUUUUUCCUUAUUUAAGACAUUAUUUUACUGCUAAUUUAUAUUUAUACCCAUAAAUAUAUAAAGUAUUAUAUUUAUAAUGGAAAUAUACAAAGUAUGUUAUAUAUAAAGUUUAUACCAUGUAUAUACNNNNNNNNNNNNNNNNNNNNNNNNNNNNNNNNNNNNNNNNNNNNNNNNNUAUAAAAAUACAAAGUAUAAAGAAACAUAUUAAGCAUAUUUAUAUAUUUAUGGUAUAUUAUAUAAUAUACCGUAAAUAUGCAAAGCAUGUUUUACAUAGAAAUAAUUUAUUCACACACAGUAAAAUUUUUCAUGUAUAAGAAAAUUAAAAAAUAAAUUAGUGACACCCUAAAAUUUAAUAAUAACUCAUCAUUUCCUAUUUUUUAGGAACGAAAAGUGAAGGAAAUAAAUUAAAUAAAUUCCUAAAAAAAUAAAUUUAUUUGAAAGAUAAUAUUUGUUAUUUAAAAAACAGGAAACAAUGAUCUGUUAAUAUAACAUCCAUAUUUAAAAUUUUCAAAUAUGAGAAAACGGCUAUUAAUGUAAAUAUUAUAUAUGUCAUAAUUAAAACUCAUUAAAUAUGACCAUAUAUAUAUAAUUAUUUUUAUAAUAGUGACUAAUUGUAUUCUUUUUUCAUUAGUAGGUAAAUUUUAAUCGGAUGAUUUUAUAGUUUGUAAAAGUUAGGGCAUAAAAUCAUAUUUAAAAUUUUUUUUUCAAAAGUCAAUUUUUUUUUUUCAAAAAAAACAUGGUCAAACACAACUCCAACUUCAAAAAUUUUAGUUUUCAUGGUCAAACGGCUACUAAGCCACUAAGAUUGUCCUGCUAGGUUAGCUGAAGGGCAAUUUCGUCAUUUCACAUAUUACAGCUACCACACAACCCUAUGAGGACAUUUCUGUCAUUCCACAACAAUCUCAACCACAACCAUAAAUUCUUUAACGAUUCAAUAGUGACAUAUAGGAAUGUACAUAGAUCAGACUGGUUCGAUUUUUUAUUAAAAUAUAACAAAAUCAAUAAUGUCGAUUUUUUAAAUCUAUAAACCAAAUCAAAUCAAUAUACAAUUAAUUUUUUUAUUUUAAUUUUAGUCGAAUUUUUUCAAUUUUUUUGAUUUUCUCAAUUUUUUUACAAUUAUAAUAUGAUUGAAAAAAAAAAUUAAUUGUUUUCACUAAAAAGAUUAAAAAAAAAAAAAUGAUCAUAGAAUAGUUUCAAUAAAAAUUAAGUUGGUAAAUUAUUAAGACGCCUAAAUUAUUAUCUUUCAAAAUAAUAUUAUGUGAAUACUUAAUAGUUUAAUUUCUAAGUCACGAGUCACAAUAAUUUAUCUAAAAAUUUCCUUCACAUAAAAUACAAGCAUAUAAAAAAACAAAGAAUUGGAGACAAUUUAUUAAAAAACUUAACUUUAUAACAUAAUUCCAUAAAAAAAAAAGAAACAAACCUAAAUCACAACUUGACGACGAAUGCGAAAAAUAAAAUAAAAAUAAAAUAGAAAAUAAUGAGAACUCUCUAAAAAUUCAAAAAGUAAAAUGUAACAAGUAAAGCAAUUAAAGAAUUUUAAAUUUUUAUAUUAAUAUUGAAUUUUAUAUUAAUUUAUUAUUAAUAAAAAGAUAUUAUAAUUAAAGAUCCAAAAGUAUAUAUCUAUUUUUUAAAUAUAAAAAAUAAUAAAUAUAAUUAAAAAAUAAAUUAUAAGUAGUAUUUUUAUGUAUAAACAUUAAAAUUAUAUUUAUAUUACGUCGAUUCGAUUUGAUUUUAGUUUUGCUAAUAUCAAAUCAAAUUUUAUGAUUGAACUUUUUUGCCAACACAAAAUCAAUCAAAUCAAAUUAUAAAUCAAUUUUUUUCUUGAUUUGAUUUGAUUCAUAGGUUCAAUUUGAUUUAACGGUUCGAUUUGUAUACACAGAUAGUAGAGGAGAUCGAUGUUGAUGAAAACGAAACUUUGAAAUCUGAAGCUUACAUGAGCAAAGUCUGGGCAAAGAAGACAACCCAUCCGCCAUGCCUUCAGACCUCGGCUGCAAUGAGGGUUUCAAAUAGGCUAUAUCUCAAAAUUCGCAAUCAUAAUGAUGUUAUAUUACAAUAAUUACAGCCACCACAAAACGCCUUAACAGGGCACUUUGCCAUUUCAACAAUAAUCGCAACUACCACAAAAUUUUCUUUCAGUAUUCAACGCCGGCAUAGAUAGUGUCGGAGUGGAGGAGACGAUGAUGAUGAUGAUAACGACGGAGAAGAAGCAAAAGAGUAGAUCUAAAAACCUAUAUCAUUUUUAUGGCAGAAAGUUUUGAUUUUGAGGCUCAGAUUAGUAAAAUCAGGGCAAAGGAGACAACAGAUCCGCCAAGGCUGCAACAGUAUCAGUAACAACAACAUACUUUUUGAGUUUUGACUUAGGGAGACAACAGAUCUGCCAUGGCUGCAACAUUUUAAUGCAUGCCAAGUUCUUGAUUCCAUUUUUGCAACUGAUUUUUUGAAUAUUUAACUCAUUAUGCAGUGAUUCAAGAAAAGCAUGAACAAGUACCCCUUCACUAAUUUUUAGAUCCCAUACUUUGAUUUCCUUUUUAAUAAUUAGGAUAUUGAUGAAAUAAGUUGUUGAGUGAAUAAGCUGUUGGACACUUGAACUUGUGGAAAUUGAAUCUACUUUUGUGGCUAUGAUAAAAGUGAAGAAACUGGAAUCUUCU
This 5724-nucleotide long non-coding RNA is filed under the name Capsicum annuum. RNAcentral describes it as "long non-coding RNA (CANN_LNC004585)". The record is from RNAcentral. Lineage: Eukaryota; Viridiplantae; Streptophyta; Magnoliopsida; Solanales; Solanaceae.